Molecule: ribosomal RNA, 508 nt
Filed under: Curtobacterium sp.
Lineage: Bacteria; Bacillati; Actinomycetota; Actinomycetes; Micrococcales; Microbacteriaceae
Description: bacterial SSU rRNA
Rfam family: Bacterial small subunit ribosomal RNA
Source: RNAcentral
CAGUCGACGAUGAUCAGGAGCUUGCUCUUGUGAUUAGUGGCGAACGGGUGAGUAACACGUGAGUAACCUGCCCCUGACUCUGGGAUAAGCGUUGGAAACGACGUCUAAUACUGGAUACGACUGCCGGCCGCAUGGUCUGGUGGUGGAAAGAUUUUUUGGUUGGGGAUGGACUCGCGGCCUAUCAGCUUGUUGGUGAGGUAAUGGCUCACCAAGGCGACGACGGGUAGCCGGCCUGAGAGGGUGACCGGCCACACUGGGACUGAGACACGGCCCAGACUCCUACGGGAGGCAGCAGUGGGGAAUAUUGCACAAUGGGCGAAAGCCUGAUGCAGCAACGCCGCGUGAGGGAUGACGGCCUUCGGGUUGUAAACCUCUUUUAGUAGGGAAGAAGCGAAAGUGACGGUACCUGCAGAAAAAGCACCGGCUAACUACGUGCCAGCAGCCGCGGUAAUACGUAGGGUGCAAGCGUUGUCCGGAAUUAUUGGGCGUAAAGAGCUCGUAGGCGGUU